RNAcentral lists this ribosomal RNA (401 nucleotides) under uncultured Lachnospiraceae bacterium. RNAcentral describes it as "bacterial SSU rRNA". It matches the Rfam family "Bacterial small subunit ribosomal RNA", at positions 356 to 774 of the family's 1533-position model. The record is from RNAcentral. Lineage: Bacteria; Bacillati; Bacillota; Clostridia; Lachnospirales; Lachnospiraceae.
UGGGAAUAUUGCACAAUGGGGAAACCCUGAUGCAGCAACGCCGCGUGAGCGAAGAAGUAUUUCGGUAUGUAAAGCUCUAUCAGCAGGGAAGAAAAUGACGGUACCUGACUAAGAAGCCCCGGCUAACUACGUGCCAGCAGCCGCGGUAAUACGUAGGGGGCAAGCGUUAUCCGGAUUUACUGGGCGUAAAGGGAGCGCAGGCGGCGAAGCAAGCCAGAGGUGAAAACCCGGGGCUCAACCCCGAGGAUUGCCUUUGGAACUGUUUUGCUUGAGUACUGGAGGGGCAGGCGGAAUUCCUGGUGUAGCGGUGAAAUGCGUAGAUAUCAGGAGGAACACCGGUGGCGAAGGCGGCCUGCUGGACAGUAACUGACGCUGAGGCUCGAAAGCGUGGGGAGCAAACA